CUGUGAAUAUUCUUGCUGUUCUGAUUUUGUAAUAGUCAGGACAGGUAAAACAUUUCCAACAUUAAGACUAUGCAUGUAUCCCAGACCUCGUUCUUUUCCCAGGUCUGGUUUUAUAAAUGCUGGUGAUAAAC
Aotus nancymaae (Ma's night monkey) is the source of this 131-nucleotide small nucleolar RNA. Its record names the gene SNORA72. It matches the Rfam family "Small nucleolar RNA SNORA72". From Rfam's summary of the family: U72 is a member of the H/ACA class of snoRNAs. The snoRNA gene is located in intron 4 of the ribosomal L30 protein gene in human, mouse and chicken. The record is from Ensembl. NCBI's taxonomy places the organism in Eukaryota, Metazoa, Chordata, Mammalia, Primates, Aotidae.